UACGUAGGUGGCGAGCGUUGUCCGGAUUUACUGGGCGUAAAGAGCGCGCAGGCGGUCGUACAAGUCGCGUGUGAAAGCCCCCGGCUCAACUGGGGAGGGUCACGCGAUACUGUUCGACUCGAAGGCAGGAGAGGGAAGCGGAAUUCCCGGUGUAGUGGUGAAAUGCGUAGAUAUCUGGAGGAACACCGGUGGCGAAGGCGGCAUCCUGGACCGGCAUUGACGCUGAGGCGCGAAAGCCAGGGGAGCAAACGGG
Molecule: ribosomal RNA, 253 nt
Filed under: uncultured bacterium
Lineage: Bacteria
Description: partial 16S ribosomal RNA
Rfam family: Bacterial small subunit ribosomal RNA
Source: RNAcentral